Molecule: unclassified non-coding RNA, 584 nt
Filed under: Hevea brasiliensis (rubber tree)
Lineage: Eukaryota; Viridiplantae; Streptophyta; Magnoliopsida; Malpighiales; Euphorbiaceae
Source: RNAcentral
UUUGGUUGCAAUGUUAAACUAAUGAGAUGUGUUUAUGUCAUGCAUAUAUAAGUAUUUUCAUAUUUUAAUAAGAUUGUCAAAGUUCAGAAAAUGACUUCCUUUCUUGAAAAGUGGAAGUCAUUUUCCUUAAAAUUUGCUUAAUUUUCUUUUGAACAGGAAAAUAUUUUCCACUGACCCAUUUCCUUAGUGCUCCAAAUGCUAGAAAAAGCAAAAAAUAUUUUCCAGGAAAAUAUAUUCCGCAAAACAAACGAAGCCUUGAAGAAAACAACUUACCUAUUUUUCAAAACAAGAAGGCUUUUUUCAAAUUUCACAAACUUAUAAAAGAGAAAAUACCCAAGGGAAUUGCAGUCACAUAACCAGGAGUGUACCAAAUUAUCUCUAGCAAUCACCAGCAGCUAGUAGCAAUGAUAAUUUACUGUUUUCAUAUGAUUCUCUCUCAUUCAAUAUGAAGUUCUAAUAGUUGUAAACAAUUUAGUAUUUUAUUUGUUGAAAUGUAUUUAAUAUUUUUCAAUGUCUUCCAAAUGCCAUAAAAUAAUUUCCAGUUGGUUUUCAAGAUUUUCACCAAACAACAUUAAAUAAGUCAU